UACGAAGGGGGCUAGCGUUGCUCGGAAUCACUGGGCGUAAAGGGUGCGUAGGCGGGUCUUUAAGUCAGAGGUGAAAUCCUGGAGCUCAACUCCAGAACUGCCUUUGAUACUGGAGAGCUUGAGUCCGGGAGAGGUGAGUGGAACUGCGAGUGUAGAGGUGAAAUUCGUAGAUAUUCGCAAGAACACCAGUGGCGAAGGCGGCUCACUGGCCCGGUACUGACGCUGAGGUGCGAAAGCGUGGGGAGCAAACAGG
Molecule: ribosomal RNA, 253 nt
Filed under: uncultured bacterium
Lineage: Bacteria
Description: partial 16S ribosomal RNA
Rfam family: Bacterial small subunit ribosomal RNA
Source: RNAcentral